AGACCCGAAACCCGGUGAUCUAGCCAUGGGCAGGUUGAAGGUUGGGUAACACUAACUGGAGGACCGAACCGACUAAUGUUGAAAAAUUAGCGGAUGACCUGUGGCUGGGGGUGAAAGGCCAAUCAAACCGGGAGAUAGCUGGUUCUCCCCGAAAGCUAUUUAGGUAGCGCCUCGUGAAUUCAUCUCCGGGGGUAGAGCACUGUUUCGGCUAGGGGGCCAUCCCGGCUUACCAACCCGAUGCAAACUGCGAAUACCGGAGAAUGUUAUCACGGGAGACACACGGCGGGUGCUAACGUCCGUCGUGAAGAGGGAAACAACCCAGACCGCCAGCUAAGGUCCCAAAGUCAUGGUUAAGUGGGAAACGAUGUGGGAAGGCCCAGACAGCCAGGAUGUUGGCUUAGAAGCAGCCAUCAUUUAAAGAAAGCGUAAUAGCUCACUGGUCGAGUCGGCCUGCGCGGAAGAUGUAACGGGGCUAAACCAUGCACCGAAGCUGCGGCAGCGAACGUAUCACUUAAAGCGAUUCAGCGGGUUACGAUUGACGGAGCGAAGCGACGUCAAAGCGUAUACAAAGUCGAGUCGGUUUAAGGAUACGUUCGUUGGGUAGGGGAGCGUUCUGUAAGCCUGCGAAGGUGGCCUGUGAGGGUUGCUGGAGGUAUCAGAAGUGCGAAUGCUGACAUAAGUAACGAUAAAGCGGGUGAAAAGCCCGCUCGCCGGAAGACCAAGGGUUCCUGUCCAACGUUAAUCGGGGCAGGGUGAGUCGACCCCUAAGGCGAGGCCGAAAGGCGUAGUCGAUGGGAAACGGGUUAAUAUUCCCGUACUUGGUGUUACUGCGAAGGGGGGACGGAGAAGGCUAUGUUGGCCGGGCGACGGUUGUCCCGGUUU
RNAcentral lists this ribosomal RNA (882 nucleotides) under Salmonella enterica subsp. enterica serovar Infantis. RNAcentral describes it as "partial 23S ribosomal RNA". It matches the Rfam family "Bacterial large subunit ribosomal RNA", at positions 711 to 1513 of the family's 2925-position model. The record is from RNAcentral. Lineage: Bacteria; Pseudomonadati; Pseudomonadota; Gammaproteobacteria; Enterobacterales; Enterobacteriaceae.